CAUGAUGGUAGUUUAACAAACUCAGGGUUAUAGGAUCGGUUUCGAGUUGUCAAAAACCAAACCACUCCAAUCCGGCUUUGUUGCUUGCUUGUCAUU
Sinocyclocheilus rhinocerous is the source of this 96-nucleotide long non-coding RNA. RefSeq lists it as uncharacterized. The transcript has 3 exons. The record is from RefSeq and is a predicted model, not a curated record. NCBI's taxonomy places the organism in Eukaryota, Metazoa, Chordata, Actinopteri, Cypriniformes, Cyprinidae.